GGGCCCGCACAAGCGGUGGAGUAUGUGGUUUAAUUCGAUGCAACGCGAAGAACCUUACCAGGGUUUGACAUCCUGCGAAUCUCUUGGAAACGAGAGAGUGCCUUCGGGAGCGCAGUGACAGGUGGUGCAUGGCUGUCGUCAGCUCGUGUCGUGAGAUGUUGGGUUAAGUCCGGCAACGAGCGCAACCCACAUCCCUAGUUGCCAGCAGUUCGGCUGGGCACUCUAUGGAAACUGCCCGUGAUAAGCGGGAGGAAGGUGUGGAUGACGUCAAGUCCUCAUGGCCCUUACGGGUUGGGCUACACACGUGCUACAAUGGUGGUGACAAUGGGUUAAUCCCAAAAAGCCAUCUCAGUUCGGAUUGGGGUCUGCAACUCGACCCCAUGAAGUCGGAAUCGCUAGUAAUCGC
Molecule: ribosomal RNA, 406 nt
Filed under: uncultured bacterium
Lineage: Bacteria
Description: bacterial SSU rRNA
Rfam family: Bacterial small subunit ribosomal RNA
Source: RNAcentral